UUCGGUGGCGAUAGCGAGGGGGAUACACCUCUUCCCAUUCCGAACAGAGAAGUUAAGCCCCUCAGCGCCGAUGGUACUUGGGCCUCGCGGCCCUGGGAGAGUAGGUCGCCGCCGAUC
Molecule: ribosomal RNA, 117 nt
Filed under: Thermoleophilaceae bacterium
Lineage: Bacteria; Bacillati; Actinomycetota; Thermoleophilia; Thermoleophilales; Thermoleophilaceae
Source: RNAcentral